Molecule: non-coding RNA, 1310 nt
Organism: Punica granatum (pomegranate)
Lineage: Eukaryota; Viridiplantae; Streptophyta; Magnoliopsida; Myrtales; Lythraceae
Source: RefSeq, a predicted model, not a curated record
UCUAAUAAAAAAAAUAUGGACCUAGCUAGAGUAUUUUCACAGGACACUAAUUAAAGUGUUCUGGCGUGUAUGGACCCGAAAUAUGCCCCAUUCACUCCUCUCCUGCCACCCCUCCCACCUCCGAACGGCGCCAAUGAUGCCUUCUGUUCUCAAAACAACCAAUGGGUACCAUUUUAACUGUUCCCGUCUCUUCGCCAGACAACUCGCCCCGGUUCCUAUGUCUGCCAGACCCAACGCCUGGCCGAACUCCCUGCCUUUGGUUCCCGUCUUUGAUACCGGCCACACCUUCUUCUCCAUGUCUGCUGCCAUCUAUGGUCUCCAAAGUGCUCGAUCAAAUGCCUCCCACCACCAUCUCCUUCGACUCGACACUGCACCAAAGGAUCGAAUUUCGACACGAAAUUCACCUCCGUCCCACUGCUUGAUCCUACCUUUUACUGCAAUUGUUCAAUGUUUCCCGAUCGUCAAUUGUUUCUGCACAAUUUUUCUCCAUCUUUGUCGCUCUACCGCCUCCAAGCUGCUCGAUCUAUUGCCUACUGCAAUCGACAAAUCGACAAGCUACCCAUGAUGGCAGGCUAUGGAAUUUCGCACUGCAUUGGUUUCUGGGGAGACCUGGUUAUAAUAACGCAUCCAAUUUAAGUGCCUGUAAGCUCUUCUACAUGCCGGCAUUCUCACGAUAAAAGUAAUAUUAUCUACCUUUCAUUAAUAUUCUCUCGAUAUUAGCUUUAGUUCACCCGAACAAGUCUUGUUUUAUUGAAAUAUUUCUAGUUUUUGUGCCUCUAUUUUUAUAUAGAAUAGGAAAAUGGUUUUCUGCACAUUUUAGUUACUUAAGUACCGUAGGAGUUGGUUAUCUUCUUGUAAACUAAAACGCGGAAAGAUCCUCAGGCCCUCGAGAAAUUCUACUUUCCCAUAUAACCGAGGUCAUGUUUCUAUUAUGUAGUCUUUUAUAUGUCCAUCAUCAUAAAACGACUUUCUUAUGAUGAUGCAGUCCACAUUAAGGUCUGUCUCAUAGGACUUGUUCUCUAAUUUCUUUAUGCUUAUCUAAAUAUUGUUCUUAGUGGUAAUUUAUAAAUGGUUUCUACGGGAGCGACUGUCUGGAUUGGCUCAGUAAGGGAGGCUGCUACUUGUGCACGCAGAAGGACGUAGAACUAGACUCGACUAGCAUGCCAAACCUUGAUAGAGAGGACCUGCGAUCUUAUUAAACCUAUCUUAAGUCAAGGCCACUUUCAAUGUGAGAUUUCUCUCAUUUGACUGUGACUUAGCAAAUUUGAUUUAUAUAUUAAAGAUAUUAUGAUAGAAUUUUCUUCUGAAUA